UACGUAGGGGGCUAGCGUUGUCCGGAAUCAUUGGGCGUAAAGAGCGUGUAGGCGGCCCGGUAAGUCCGCUGUGAAAGUCGGGGGCUCAACCCUCGAAUGCCGGUGGAUACUGUCGGGCUAGAGUGCGGAAGAGGCGAGUGGAAUUCCUGGUGUAGCGGUGAAAUGCGCAGAUAUCGUGAGGAAGACCAGUGGCGAAGGCGGAUCUCUGGACAGUUCCUGACGCUGAGGCACGAAGGUCAGGGGAGCAAACGGG
Molecule: ribosomal RNA, 253 nt
Filed under: uncultured bacterium
Lineage: Bacteria
Description: partial 16S ribosomal RNA
Rfam family: Bacterial small subunit ribosomal RNA
Source: RNAcentral